AUAAUUCAAGCAUGCUUGGUGAUCUCAAACCAAUCACAAGGAGUCCCACCCAAAGGCAAAGGGAACCAAGAUGCUAAAGAUCCUUGAGGCAAUGCAAAUGCAAUGUUAUGAUGCCAUGAGGGAUCUUAGGGUCAAAAUUGGGGUCUUACAAAUGCCCCUAUUUAAGGUCAUUCUAGCCGGAGAAGUGAAGGUUAAAAUCUUC
RNAcentral lists this long non-coding RNA (202 nucleotides) under Lathyrus oleraceus (garden pea). Its description in RNAcentral is "Pisum sativum (pea) long non-coding RNA (PSAT_LNC032704)". The record is from RNAcentral. Lineage: Eukaryota; Viridiplantae; Streptophyta; Magnoliopsida; Fabales; Fabaceae.